GACGAACGCUGGCGGCGUGCUUAACACAUGCAAGUCGAACGGAAAGGCCCUGCUUUUGUGGGGUGCUCGAGUGGCGAACGGGUGAGUAACACGUGAGUAACCUGCCCUUGACUUUGGGAUAACUUCAUGAAACUGGGGCUAAUACCGGAUAGGAGCACCUGCUGCAUGGUGGGGGUUGGAAAGUUUCGGCGGUUGGGGAUGGACUCGCGGUUUAUCAGCUUGUUGGUGGGGUAGUGGGUUACCAAGGCUUUGACGGGUAGCCGGCCUGCGAGGGUGACCGGCCACAUUGGGACUGAGAUACGGCCCAGACUCCUACGGGAGGCAGCAGUGGGGAAUAGUGCACAAUGGGCGGAAGCCUGAUGCAGCAACGCCGCGUGCUGGAUGACGGCCUUCGGGGUGGAAACCGCUUUCGCCUGUGACGAAGCGUGAGUGACGGUAAUGGGUAAAGAAGCACCGGCUAACUACGUG
Molecule: ribosomal RNA, 468 nt
Filed under: uncultured bacterium
Lineage: Bacteria
Description: partial 16S ribosomal RNA
Rfam family: Bacterial small subunit ribosomal RNA
Source: RNAcentral